This is a non-coding RNA of Pangasianodon gigas (Mekong giant catfish), 72 nucleotides long. The record is from the annotation of a GenBank genome assembly. Lineage: Eukaryota; Metazoa; Chordata; Actinopteri; Siluriformes; Pangasiidae.
UCCCUGGAGGACUAGUGGUUAGGCCUCGGUGCUCCCACAGCUGGGGCCCGGGAUUGAUUCCUGGCCAGGGAA